This 12238-nucleotide long non-coding RNA is filed under the name Hordeum vulgare. RNAcentral describes it as "long non-coding RNA (HVUL_LNC003560)". The record is from RNAcentral. Lineage: Eukaryota; Viridiplantae; Streptophyta; Magnoliopsida; Poales; Poaceae.
UGUUCGGGCUCGUCGUCGGCUGCUUCGGCAUGUUCGCAGCCUGCCUGCCGGAGACGCGGGGAAAGGGCAUGUCGGACACCAUGGACGAGGAGGAGCACAAGGAGGCGACGGUGGCCGCUUGCACCGUCAACGAUGCCGACUGUAACAGCGGCCUCGUGUAAUUAAACUGCGGGUUGAUGUACAAAGUUGUUCCCGUUCCAAUCAAGUAAACUGCCGCCAGGUCGCAGCACAUUACUCAAAUCGCCUGCCUUCCAAAGGAUAAAUUAUAACAACUCUGAUAAGCUCUCAUCAAAGUCCGGUGAUGAGUAGAAAACACCACUCAAACAUAAAUCCUCACAAUAUACAAACUCUAAGGCAAAAUGGUUUGUCCUACGAGCAGUUUUAACUUGCUUCCUUUUAGGUAAAUGUUUACCCCGGCACGCCGGCCGAAGUCUUUCGUCGCUCGCGCGGACGUGCUAUCCGUUUUUAAUCGAGCGGUCCUCGUUUACCCGUCCAGGCUCAUAUGCAACAGACUCUUUCCUAGCUACACAUCCAGUGCCUUAUCCAUCCAUCAACCGCUCUUCUUCCCCCUCCAGCUUUUCUCCCGUUGGAAAAAUGCUUCGUCGACGUAAAGAAAUCUUCAACUGAUCAUUGAAAAAGCUUCGACGAGCAUGGAGAGAAAAGCUUCAAUCCAUGAGAAAAGGCUUCAACCAUUUGAAAAAGCUUCAUGUCCACGACCAUGUCCGACCAGUUCGACCGCGAGAUGCGCCCCGCAGAUGCCGACCCGCGAUGCUGCAACCGUUGACAUAAAAUGCUACAACCGUUGAUGAAUAAAGGUGCAACCAUACAUAUAAAAAGCUACAAGCAGUCAUUGUCAUGGCGGAAUGCUGCAACCGUUGACAUAAAAUGCUACAACCGUUGAUGAAAAAAGCUGCAACCAGACAUAUAAAAGCUGCAAACGGUCAUUACCAUGGCAGAAUGCUGCAACCGUUGACAUAAAAUGCUACAACCGUUGAUGAUAAAAGCUGCAACGAAGGACCGACAAGGUGUCCGUGUUUGUUGGCUCUGCAAGGACGACGACCGGCGGCGAGGACGUCCGACGAGAUGGGGCGAUGGGAGAAGGACCCCUCGACCGCCAGGGGGCAGGGGGGAGAGGGGAGGGGCGGGAUAGUGCCGCUGCGCGCUGGACGAGAAUGGUCGGCGAGGCGCUCGCGUUGUGGCUCAAGGUUGAAGACGAAGACGAGAUCUGACAGUCAGAGCCCCGAUCUGACGGCUGUUGUGCGACCGACGUGAGCCGUCGGGCUGGCGCGCCGGCGCCCAGCACUGCCCUUCCUUUUACCCUUUUUUUACAUGUGAGAUAAGAAAGUAUGAACUAAUCUGUAACCACUAAUUAAUAAGAUCGAUGGUUCAGAUCUAUCAUAUACUUUUACCUUCCAUGUAAAAAGAGGAGGUAAGAGGGAAGGGAAACUUUUAAAACCUGGAUGUAUAUACACCCUAUAAGAAAAAAAAAUAGCAACCUAACAAAAAGUCAAAAAAAUCUAAAAAUAUUUUUGAAAUAAACUUGACCUUUCAUUGUACCUUUAAGAAAAUUUCCAUAAAAAUAAAAUUAUACUUUGAUUUGUUUUCAAAAAGAUAAAUUUUCGAUCAAAAUAGUAUGAUAGUGACCUAUAAUAGCAAAUAAUUUUUGUCUUUUUUGCCCAAAAGUCAAUGUUGAUUUUUUUCGUAAAAUUUUGUAUACUAGUGCAAAAAAAAGUCAAAUUUAAUCUAAAAAUACUUUGAAACCAUUUUGACUUUCUAAUUAAUUAUCAAAAAGUAUUUCUCAUAUAAGAUGCAUAUAUAACUAGGAACCAAAGUAUAUUUCCCACGUAAGAGGGAGCAUGUUAAAAUUUGACAUGUCAUACACUAACCAACAAAACCACAUCUGGACCAAUGUUGGUCACCUCCAAAAAGCAAUAACUCCACAAGAACUCUCUUUGCCAACACACCAGCCACCAUUUAGUUGCCUAAAAGAGUUGGCAGAUGAGUGGCGAUCAGAUAUCUGUGAGAAAGUCAUCAUCUUAAACUCAUCGACGAUGGCGUACAUAGCGCAUCUCGCGAACAAUCUAGAACCGUGGCGAGCACGGGAGAAACACGAACUAGGACCUCCAAAACAAUGCUCCAAACCAAUGAACGACGCCAAGGAUCCGGAUCCAAACCUAUACUUUUGCCCGAAGACAUCCGAUCAAGUGAGAGGGAGCGAGGUGUCAACACACCACAACGAUGUCUCCAAGGAGGGGCACGACACUGACGGGCGCCAUCAUUGCUCGCACUGAUCGAAGACGGGCAUGACUUUCAUAUGAAUAGUCUCACACCUACAUCCCAAGCGAUCGAAAUGUGGCACACCGUCCAUGCAUGUUCACUCCUUCAUCACCGCCGCACCUCGCCCAUGGAACCACAUCACCACGUACCACCAACACCAUCGAAAGAACCAAACAUCACAACCACACCAAGCAACCAUAAAAAACGCCUACACAACGCAGAGGCUUGACAAAUCCAUGCCCCAUGGCAGCCAAGCACAACCACCACUCCAACAAACACAACCCACUGUCGUAGACGCCAUCAGCCUGUCAGAUUUGGGCGGAGCAUGAAACCACCAAAAUCAGAAACAGUCGUCCGCGACGCGACAGAGCCGCCUCAUCAUAUGUGGCACACUCCUUCCAAGCAGGCGUCGUGGAUGAGGUAGCGUCGCUACAACCAAGCCGUCCUUGCUCUCAUCAUACCAGAGCAGCACCGGAACAAGAUCGGGAUGUGAGCAACUCCACCUCCUGGACCACUGAGAAGGUCACGCCCGAGACCCGCACGACUACGCGCGAGCCAGAUCAUGUCGCCGCUUGCCGUCAACAGGUUUUGCCCGUCGAUGGCGGCAAGGGGUAGAGGAGAGCAGGGGCAGAGCCACGCUAUCAUCGUGCCCCCGGCCUCCUUCAUUGCUUCAGUAAUUAACAGGAUUAACAGUGUAAAAAUGAUAAAGUGAGAAAGGAAUUAAUACUCAUGCCCGGGGCCCAAGCACCCUCGGCCUAGGUCCUGGCUCCACCACUGGAGGAGAGAGAGGGACCGGCAUCCACGAUGGUUAGAGGAAGUACAAUAGGAUGACGUAGGCGGACUGUAAGACUUAAAAUAAUAUAUUUGUGAUGAGUUGGAAGAGAGAGAAGAUGAGAGAAAAGAGAAGCAGACUACAAACUAACAGCAGGCUGUAACACGUGCUCCUAGACACUUUAUGAGAGAGGAUGGUGGGCCUUGUAUCAAUAAAGUAGUACUCAUUUACAUCUAUCUAUUGUACUUACGGGCUAUAAGCUUGACUAUAAAUGACGUGUCAACAUCAUAUAGCCAGCAGCUGGCUGUACUAUUAACCAUGCUCUUAGGUUUCUGCCAGAGCCGCUCCUAGGAGCCUGGGGUGUUCAGAUCCAUGUCCUAUGGAGUUCGCAACACGUGAAAACUACAAUGGUCCUGAACAUUUCGGACAAAAAGAUUCAAUUAUUAUAAAACAGCUGGUCGUCCGAGUCACUGGUGACUGGUGAUGCCAAUGAUCAGAUGAGAGAUCGCAGCUUAUUCUAACUCUGCAUGGAAUCCGCUUGGAAGAUGCUGAUAGAUUCGUCGUACCAUAUACGUACAAAUAUAAAACUUGCAUAUAUACCAGGCAAAUUUGGCCAUGCUCUGCAGGGAGCAUAAUAGUUGUCUACCAAUGUCGGCGCAUAUAAAGGCACUUACCGUGUUGCACCCUGCAGCCAUGAGAACGGGAUACCGUUUCCACCCAUUUUAAUUUAGUUAUGCGACCUACUCCCUCCAUAUACAAGGCCAUUUCAUAUUUUUAUGUCUAACUUUAAUAAUUAAUUUUAUAAAAUUUACAAACAAAAUAUGAGUUAUAUUACCAUAAAAAGUAUGUCAUAUGAGUUAUAACUUUUCAAUGAUAUAUUUUUUAUGACAUAUAACCCAUACUUUAUUGACCAAAAUUAUAAGUUAAAGUUUGACAUGAGAAAUGGAAUGGCCUUGUAUAAAAAUGAAGGAAGUAUAUUGAAUUGCUUUGUUUUCUUUCAUUGUAUUAUUUUUGCUUGGAAAACGUAAUCCCAAGAUGGCGAUGGAUAAACAUAAUCACACGAAAGGGAAGAAAGCGAGUUCCACACACCGACAUGAAGCCCACCGUACACUCGCAAUUGAGACGUGCAGUAUGAAACAAAAACUCGAGAACACCCAUGCAAAAUAAAGACAAGGCAUGAAUGUUCAUUUCAUGUCUCUCGGGAUUGUGUGUGAGGGGUGGUAGUGGGGGGGGGGGAGUAUUACGGGUGAGCACAUGGGAAAGUGCAUGCAUAAAUCUUAAAGCAACAUACAUGCCUCAGAUAGGCCGAAGACACGUGAAGAUGAUCUCUCGUUCAUGGUGUGUUUUUCCCUCGUGAGGAACUUAAGAUUUGUGUGCACUUUAGAUCUAGGGAUCUAGAUAAAUCUGAGUCAACUAAUUUAGGACGAGAAAGGGGGCUCAGCAGGAAGAGGAUUGUAUCAUGAGAGAAGCACGGAGGUCAACCCGCUUCAAUUACGGAACAUGGAUUCAGGCAAUGCAACGGAGUUGGGUCCUCAUAUCGAUCCGAAUGAAUCACUCUUUCUACAGAGGUCAAUCUUUGCCUAUUAGGUAAGAGGAUAGCAAGUUCUAAAUUCUGUCUCGGUAGGACAUGGAUUUUAAUAUGUUUUAAUAACUCAUGAAUGUUUUUUCUCCCAAUUACAAACAGGCAGUGGAUAUGAGACUUCAUGGAUAUGAAUUAUCCUUUGUGUUGCAACCCUUCUUGUUUUGUCGAAAGUUUGUUGUUCCAAAACCAAAAAUAUGAGAGAACACAAAUGAUGAUGAUGAUGAUGAGAGAGAGAGAAAGGAAGUGGCCUUGUAUAUAAAAAUGGAGGGAGUAUAUUGAAUUGCUUUGUUUUUUUCAUACUAUUAUUUUGGCUUGGAAACGUAAUCCCAAGAUGGCGAUGGAUAAAUAUUUGGCAACAAAAUUGCCUAUGAUUUAUUUUUCGUGCUUAAGGAUGGAAAAUGUUUCAUUGUAUAUUGUUCAUAGGUAAAAAAAAUCAUGAAACGGGCAAUCACUCCUUUCCAUUACUUGAGCACAACGACAACGGAAUUGUUAAAGAUCUGACGUCAACUCAAAGAUUUUUCUUGAGCAAACCCAUUGUGGUACGUUUAAUUUCCGUGUAAGAAUCUCAUAGCAAGACGUGUGGCAAUCACUAUUUGCUCUGACGCACUACUCUGAGCGAACUUAGAGCCAUCAGCACUGAAAAAUUCGCUCAGGAUGGCAAUAUGAUCGAACACAUCCAGGAUGGCAAAUUCUACUUGUACAGCAUGACAAGUUUUACAAGUUCCCUUUGAUUAGCAUGUCAAUUUUCUUUGGCUGGAAUAGUCAAUCAUGAACAAGUUGGAAAUUUACCUUUUUAGGCUGGCAAUUGUCCAAUGUCGCAUCAUGGGAAAUACCAACAUGGCAACUAGUAUGUUGUAGCCUUAGAAAUUCCUGAUAAUUUUCUGCUAGCAUGACUACUUUUAUUUUACAACAUGGCAUUUUUUAUACAAUACAAUGGCAAAUAUAUUUGAUUUAGCAUGAUGAUUCUUGACAUUUGCUUCGAGCAGUUUUGGGGGGACACUCCCAGGUCACGGCGUUCUCUCGGGUGACCUCCCGUAAAAUACAAUAGUUUACUUAGGCGACCUCCGUGAGGGAGUGUCUUCUUAGACCUAGGGUCCUAAUGGUAAAGCAUCAGUAGUUUGAAAGACAGUGGACGAAAGGGAAGAAAGUGAGUUCCACACACUGACAGGAAGCCCACCGCACAGUCACAAUUGAGACGUGCGCUAUGAAGCAAAAAACUUGACAACACCCAUGCAAAAUAAAGGCGGGGCAUGAAUGUUCAUUUCAUGUCUCUCGGGGUUGUGUGUGAGAGGGGGAGAGGGAGUAUGAUGGGUGAGCACAUGGGAAAGCGCACGCACAAAUCUUAAAGCAACAUACAUGCCUCAUAUAGGCCCAAGACAUGCGAGGAUGAUCUCCGGUUCGUGGUGUGUUUUUUCCUUGUGGGGAACUUAAGAUUUGUGUGCACUUUACAUCUAGGAAUCUAGACAAAUCCGAGUCAACUAAUUUAGGACGGAGGUAAUCGGAAAAUGCCAAUGCAGCCCGAGCUAUAGGGAGCUCAGUAUUUUAAAAACAAUACAAAUUCAUAUUUCAAAGUUUCAAAAAGAUCAAAAAAAUAAAUCCAUGGUAACUUAUAUGAUUUCCGCACGAACGACUGUGAAAAAUCAUUUGAAUAUUUUGUAAUUUGUAGGCUGUACAAAAAAAACAAAAUUCUAGCCGACAAGAAAUAAUAUCAGCCCAUUGUAGAAAUACAUUUUUGUCUUUUUUUUCUAUGCGCCACGUGCGAAAGUAUUUGGUUAUGAAUUUUUGCACACACCGAAUACACAUGUGUGAGAGUGUAUAGAAUUUUUAUUUUUUUUCAUUCUGUGAAAAUUCGUAUUUUGAAACGAGCUCCGUGGAGCUCGGCCUGCAAAAGCCCUCACUACGGAGGUAAUACGUUUUAAUAACUCAUGAAUGUUGUUUCUCCCAAUUAGAAUCAGGUAGGAGAUAUGAGCCUUCAUGGAUAUGAAUUAUCUUUUGUGUUGCAACCCUUCUUGUUUUGUCGAAGGUUUGUUGUUCUAAAAGCAAAAAUAUCAGAGAACAUAAAUGAUUGAUGAUGAUGGCGAUGAGAGAGAGAGAGGAGGGGGGAGUACAGUCUAGUAGUAGUUUGAUAUAGGACCAUUAGUACAGAUGCAACAACUGUCUCCGGGUAAAGAAAAUUCAGAGCUCGAAUGUGUCGUCAUGGUCGCGUAAGUUUGGAGCAUCUUCCAGGCCCCAAGGCCAGGCAUUCCCGGUUCUAGCUCAGCUCAACUGUUCCACGCAGCUAGCAGCAGAUCUCAGUUUGGUUGUCAGGCGUGAUUUCCUGGUGAACAGACGUAAGUGCUAGCUACUUUCGCGUUAGAUCAAUUUCUUAUUAAUCGAUCAGAUCGACCCAUCCGAGCCAGACGCUCUUGUGCUGUUAUUUUGUUUCCACGUAUCGAUGGACACACGUAUAGGUAUAGCUCGCGGCUUACAAGCGUGCCUUCUGCGGUGCCAUGAGAGUAGGCACACUGCAAACCAACUCGUGGUUUUAUGAUUAAAGAAGCGGUGCUAUUUUCAGCUCACCAGGGUUUAAAUCCUGAUGCUUGCAUUAUUUUUGAAUUUGUGGUUUUAUGGUUAGAGGAAUAAUGAUAUGUCGGUUUAAUAUUUUAAAGGUACACAUAAAGGUAAAGUGUGUGUGCGUUUAUAGAGUGAAUAUAUGCAUUUGUAUGUAAGCAUUUACGUCUGUAUUGUGUUAAAAAAUUCAGGCACGCUGUAUGACCUGAUCAAGCCGAAUCAGCCGGAUGAUGGGCUUCCUAACCACACCAAGGAAAAAAAUACUGCAUUUACGGUUGGCUUAGAGCAUCUAAAGGCGAACUUGAUAAAUUUGAACCCUCGAACGUAUAUGGAUGAGUCAUAAGCUUUAUCUACAAUUUAGAGAUGACAAUAAGAACAUGUAUAAAAUGAGUUAUUUUUAGCUCUUUGUUUAAUAACUAGUUGUUCACAAAAAUAUGGUGAGACGUAGUACUGUGCUAAGCGUUCAUCUCUUAAAUAAAAAAAACAAGUUAUUUCUUAUGAAUUCUCACCCCCUACCUUAAUAUUUAACCAACCGGACACUUUUAAAAUAGCAUCAUUGUACAUGUCUUUACAAGCAUGCCUUCUACCAUGCAAUGCAUAUACACAGCUGUACAAUCCAAUCAAACUAAAUCAGCGGGAUGAUGGCCUGUCCCAACUACGUCAUGGAAAAAACACUGCCUUUACGGUCGGCUUAGAGCAUUUACACACGCCCCCUACCCGUCCUCCCUACACACCUAGAUAGACAGUCUGAUACACACCCAAUAAAAGAAUCUGAGUUAAGCGGGCUCCUCAUAUCAUUUCUAAAUAUUUAGGUUGACUGACAUCCCUUUUAUUAGUCCAAAUCUAGAUCAGCAUUGAAAAUGCCCUAACAUUGGAUGCCCAAGCCAUUCUUUCGCCUAUUGUUAUCUGUUGUAACAUGUACUCUCUUCCUUCAUACAUCGGUUGCUUUUUCGUCAAAAAACCCAAACGCCAAGCAACCUCCUUCAUUUCAUUGGCCCAUUUUUUUAUGUUUUCAUUGUUUGACCUUGAUUUGGGUAUUCGAUGACAUAGUAUAACAUCAAAAUACAUAGUUCAAACAUAAAUAUUAUUUGAAAAACAUAGUUUAAUUUAGAAAUAAAACUCAUCAAAAAUCUACCAGCAAGGAAUCCACCUUGUGUCCGGGCUGACCUCGCGAGCAGUCCGAGCAACCUUGUUUCUCCUCCACAUAUGACUAAGCUAGGGGAAGACAGAACACAAAUGACAUGGACAUAUACGACAUGUUUAAGAAAUCUUGUUGGGUGAUCUUUUGGGACAUAUCCGGAAUGUCUAGACACACGGGUGGGGUGGCUGGGUGGGGAAGGGAGCAUGGGUUGUGUCCUUAGGUCCGUGACGGUAGAGUGAUUCCAGUGACAUUCAACAAGGACCAUGCGAUAUCAAGCUAAUUUAAUUUGUCCAACCUAACCCGUGUCACAUUUUCGGCAUUCAUGUUCAUCCCCUUCACCUAUGGCAAGUAGUGAGAAAGGGUGGGAGGGAGGGCGAGUAGAUCAAGGGAGAGACUAGAGACAAGGAGCCAGAAAGAGUGUGAGCAAGCGUGCAAGAGAGAGUGGUUUACGUGACGAUUGGUGUUGAACGCCAUGUUGCAAUAUAUGGACAAUUAACUAAUUUUAUUAAGAAAUGUAAACUGUCAACCUUUAUGUAGUGAUCUAACUCUCAUUCGAUUAAAUCAAAUAAACUGAUUAUUUCAAUGCAAUUUAGAUUCUCAAUAUCACAUCCUUUAAGAAAAAAAUGACCGAGAUAAAAUGGUUAGAGAAAGUCGCUUGUGCUAGAGUUAGUACUCCCUUCGAUUCAUAUUACUUAGCCUAAACUAUUUUUCCAUGGCCAACGUUUUCUUUUAAUUUUCUUUUGUCUAGUUUUGCCUUUUAUUUAUAUCCAUUUCCUGCAAAAAAAAUGUUUUUCUAGCAGCGUCUAUAGUUGUUAUACUGAUGUGUACUUGUGUUUCUCCUUUCAUUCAUUUCCAUUUAUUUUACUGUUUGACAACUCAUGAAAUUUUUAGGAUGAAAUUUGUUGGCUCCUUUAUUUCAUCCUUUUUCUAAUGAGCAUUAUUUAUAAACAUCAUGCUCUUUUUUUUGGUUUCAUGUUCACUUUCAUCCUAUCCAAAAAUAACCAUGAUCUUUCCGCAAACAAUUUAACUAUUUUCUACUUUAUCUAGAAUUUGGUCCCACUAGUAGCCUUGAUUUGUUUCAUGAGCAUAUUUGUUUCUUUUGUUUUGUCUGUUACCAAUUGGUCCAUUGGCACUAAUUUUUUUUCUUCCAUUGGCACUAAGUUUUUGUCCCACUGUCUAGAAAUUUUCUGCCUUGUGGUCAUAUUUUUUUUUCACUUACUCUAGACAUUUGUUCUAGUCGAAGCGUGAGCUGUUCCUUGAGCUAGAAGUUUUUGUCUUUAGAAAAGUAAGUAAUUUUUGUUUCAAGUACUCUAAAGGUUUGUUCCAGUAGAAGUUGUGAUUUGCUUUAGCAGCACUAAAUCAUGUUCCACUCAAUCUAAUAUUUUUACCUUGUGGUAGUUGUGACUUGUUCCACACCUAUUGUUUACUCAACAUACUCUAAACUUAUUCUCUGGUGCACGUUCUAAUCUUUUAGCACUAAGUUUUGCUCCAUUUAACUAAAGUUUUAUUCCAUCAAUAUUUCUAGUUUUUACGGUGAUCAAUUAAAUUUUGUUACAUUUACUGUAACAUUUUGCUUCACUGGUGUUGAUCUCUCCCCCGAACAAUUAAAUUUUGUUCCAUUGACUCGGAAUUCUUUUUUUUUCCGAAAAGAAUGAAGACCUCCGGCUUUUACAUCUGGGCGAUGCAUGCAGCCACUACUUAAUUUUGUAUGUGCUUUUGGUUUUGUUAACGAGUAAAUAAAAUUUUGUUCUACUUAAUCUAAACUUGACUAGUGCAAUCAUGAUUUGUUACGUUGCAUUUUCAUUUUAUAAAGUAAAGAUUUGUUGCAUAUGCACUGAUUUAUUAUUUCAUCUGAGAUAAUUUAUUCUUUCUACUUUCUGUGAAUAAUACAUUUAUAUAAAUACACUAACAUUUCUUUUAAGAUACUUUUACACAAACAUCUUCUUUUGAUAAAUAUGAGCAUUUGUUCUUGAACAUAUAGGUCUUUGUAUAAGAAAUAUUUACAUAUAUUUUCCAUUAUCUGUUUGUCGGUAACCCCUGGCCCGCACGGACCGAUGGACUCGUCUUACCUUUUCAAUGCACAACUACGCAUAGUCAUAUCCGAGAGCUCCUAUGCGCCGCAAUUCGUGGCGAGUGACCGCUUGAUGCACAUUGAGUCAGUGGCAAGUCUAGUAGGCACCCAAGCACUAUAGUAUUUUUUAUACUUUCUCCAUUUUUCUGUGAUUUAUUUUAUUAUCUGUUUAUUUUUAAUUCAUUUUCCUUCUCUUUCUUAUUCUUUGGAAUAUCAUUUUUUUCUUCAAAAUUUUAAAAAAUGUUCAAAAGCUGAAAAAAUGUUCCUAUUAUUAUUUUUUAUUCAAAAAUUCAAAAAAAAUUGCGUAUUGAAUAAACAUGUUACCAUUCAGGAAGUAUUCAUAACUUUAAAAAAUAUUCGCGAUUUUCAAAAGGGCGCUACUACAAAUCAACCAACAGAUUUGCCAAGGAAAUCAGCCGGGUUGACAGCCGUACGAUCACCUGUCCUACAUCUGUUGGACCAACCAACUCUCUUCCCCUCCACGACUCCAUCAAUUUGACGCAGCACUGAGAACUCUGGGUGAUGUCCACGACAGCAUCAAAUCCAGCCCCCAACGACACCCCUCCCCUCCCCUGGCGAAGCUCCAUUGCAAUCCCAGGCGAUGAGAGAAAGCUACAAGGCAACACCGUCGACGCUGGCGAAGCUCCAUUGAAGCUCCACGGUGCUCCCAUGUAAGCAUCCGCAAAGCUCCAUUGUAGCCUGAUGACCCCGACAAAGCUCCAUUGAAGCACCACCAGUGCUCCGAUACAGCAUCUACGAAGCUCCAUUGUAGCCCGACGACCCCGACGAAGCUCCACUGAAGCACCACCGGUGCUCCGAUGCAGCAUCCGCGAAGCUUCAUUGUAGUGCCGGUGAAGCACCAUUGCAACUCCCGCGACGCUUCAAUGGAGCUCCGACAGGGUGGUUUAAAACCUCACCGGCUGCUUCUGCUGCCACCGGCGAGCCUGCAACACCGCAUCGCUGCCCCCUUUCCAGCACGGCUUCGUUGCCACUCGUCGUCAAAACAACAGCCCCUCCCGUCGCAGCGGCACCCCUCCUUCAUAGAAGCAGCAACUAUGACGACCGGGAUGAGAGAGGUCAUGCAGGGUGAGGCGCUCGGGGAUAGGAAGAAAGCAGAGUGUGUACAGAGGAGAUCGGGCACAUAUGAAGGAGGAAGAUGACUCAGUUAAGGGAGAAGAUGAAGUUGAGGGAAAAUAUAAGGCCAUGGGGGAGGAUGGUUUAGUGGUUCUCACGGACACGUGUUAGCUCCUCGAGGCUUAUUUAGAAUGUUUUCCUUUUCAAAAUGUAUUUGGGAUUUUCAAAAAAUGUUCGUGUUUUUUGAUUUGUUUGAGAGUUUCAUAAAAUGUUUUCCUGAUUUUGAAAAAAUAAAAAAAGUGAUUUUUUAAAUUCAUGGAUACUUUUUGAAACACAAACAUUUUUUUAUGAAAAUCAUGAACAAAUUUCGAGAAUGAGACUAAUUUUUUAAACACGAACAUUUUAUGAAAAUCAUGAACAAUUUUUGAAAAGGUGAACAAUUUUUCAAACACAAAUAUUUUUAUUAAAACAUGAUUUUUUGUUGAAAAACAAAAACAUAUUCUUAAAUCCAUGAUUUUGUUUUCAAAAUACGGAAAGUUUUGAUAAAUCAUGAAGUUUUAAGAAUACAAGAACAAUUUUUGGAACACAAUUUUUUUUGAAAAUACGAACACAUUUUGAAAGAAAAAACAUUUUUUGCACUUCUUGAUUAUUUUUGAAGCACGGACAUUUGUAUAAAAAUUGUGAAUAGAAUUUUGAACACCAGAACAUUUUGCAAAAUUAAAACAAAAUUAGAAAGUGACAAACAAAAAGAAUAGUAAAACAAAAAAAAAA